AGGACAUGUGCCCGAAAGUUAGGACUCACUUUGA
This 34-nucleotide transfer RNA is filed under the name Hynobius nebulosus (clouded salamander). Its description in RNAcentral is "partial tRNA-Ile". Lineage: Eukaryota; Metazoa; Chordata; Amphibia; Caudata; Hynobiidae. The record is from RNAcentral.